This 292-nucleotide ribosomal RNA is filed under the name uncultured bacterium. Its description in RNAcentral is "partial 16S ribosomal RNA". It matches the Rfam family "Bacterial small subunit ribosomal RNA", at positions 505 to 796 of the family's 1533-position model. The record is from RNAcentral.
GUGCCAGCAGCCGCGGUAAGACAGAGGGUGCAAACGUUGCUCGGAAUUACUGGGCGUAAAGCGCGUGUAGGCGGGCCCCCAAGUCGGACGUGAAAGCCCCGAGCUCAACUCGGGAACUGCAUCCGAAACUGAGGGCCUUGAGUGAUGGAGAGGGAAGCAGAAUUCCUGGUGUAGAGGUGAAAUUCGUAGAUAUCAGGAGGAACACCGGUGGCGAAGGCGGCUUCCUGGACAUUGACUGACGCUGAGACGCGAAAGCGUGGGGAGCAAACAGGAUUAGAUACCCCAGUAGUCC